UGAGGAAUAUUGGUCAAUGGACGCAAGUCUGAACCAGCCAAGUAGCGUGCAGGAUGACGGCCCUAUGGGUUGUAAACUGCUUUUAUAUGGGGAUAAAGUGGGGAACGUGUUCCCUUUUGCAGGUACCAUAUGAAUAAGGACCGGCUAAUUCCGUGCCAGCAGCCGCGGUAAUACGGAAGGUUCGGGCGUUAUCCGGAUUUAUUGGGUUUAAAGGGAGCGUAGGCCGUUUGGUAAGCGUGUUGUGAAAUGUAGGAGCUCAACUUCUAGAUUGCAGCGCGAACUGUCAGACUUGAGUGCGCACAACGUAGGCGGAAUUCGUGGUGUAGCGGUGAAAUGCUUAGAUAUCAUGAAGAACUCCGAUUGCGAAGGCAGCUUACGGGAGCGCAACUGACGCUGAAGCUCGAAGGUGCGGGUAUCGAACAGG
This 424-nucleotide ribosomal RNA is filed under the name Verrucomicrobiota bacterium. RNAcentral's name for it is "Verrucomicrobia bacterium partial 16S ribosomal RNA". It matches the Rfam family "Bacterial small subunit ribosomal RNA", at positions 355 to 776 of the family's 1533-position model. The record is from RNAcentral. Lineage: Bacteria; Pseudomonadati; Verrucomicrobiota.